AACGAACGCUGGCGGCAUGCCUAACACAUGCAAGUCGAACGAGACCUUCGGGUCUAGUGGCGCACGGGUGCGUAACGCGUGGGAACCUGCCCUUAGGUUCGGAAUAACUCCCCGAAAGGGGUGCUAAUACCGGAUAAUGUCUUCGGACCAAAGAUUUAUCGCCUUUGGAUGGCCCCGCGUUGGAUUAGCUAGUUGGUAGGGUAAAAGCCUACCAAGGCGACGAUCCAUAGCUGGUCUGAGAGGAUGACCAGCCACACUGGGACUGAGACACGGCCCAGACUCUUACGGGAGGCAGCAGUGGGGAAUAUUGGACAAUGGGCGAAAGCCUGAUCCAGCAAUGCCGCGUGAGUGAUGAAGGCCUUAGGGUUGUAAAGCUCUUUUACCCGGGAUGAUAAUGACAGUACCGGGAGAAUAAGCUCCGGCUAACUCCGUG
RNAcentral lists this ribosomal RNA (433 nucleotides) under uncultured bacterium. RNAcentral's name for it is "partial 16S ribosomal RNA". It matches the Rfam family "Bacterial small subunit ribosomal RNA", at positions 29 to 507 of the family's 1533-position model. The record is from RNAcentral.